GCAGGGGCUGAGCAUUGGCGAGCUUCGCUGGCUGUAAACCAGUCGCCCGAAGGGGCUGUGUUGGUUCGACUCCAACCUCCUGCACCA
RNAcentral lists this transfer RNA (87 nucleotides) under Gammaproteobacteria bacterium. Its description in RNAcentral is "tRNA-Tyr". It matches the Rfam family "tRNA". Rfam says of the family: Transfer RNA (tRNA) molecules are approximately 80 nucleotides in length. Lineage: Bacteria; Pseudomonadati; Pseudomonadota; Gammaproteobacteria. The record is from RNAcentral.